UACGAAGGGGGCUAGCGUUGCUCGGAUUUACUGGGCGUAAAGGGCGCGUAGGCGGAUGUUUAAGUCGGGGGUGAAAGCCCGGGGCUCAACCCCGGAAUUGCCUUCGAUACUGGACAUCUUGAGUACGGGAGAGGUGAGUGGAACUCCGAGUGUAGAGGUGAAAUUCGUAGAUAUUCGGAAGAACACCAGUGGCGAAGGCGACUCACUGGCCCGUUACUGACGCUGAGGCGCGAAAGCGUGGGGAGCAAACAGG
RNAcentral lists this ribosomal RNA (253 nucleotides) under uncultured bacterium. RNAcentral describes it as "partial 16S ribosomal RNA". It matches the Rfam family "Bacterial small subunit ribosomal RNA", at positions 524 to 776 of the family's 1533-position model. The record is from RNAcentral.